GAGCUGCCGCGGUGGGUGGGGCGUGCUCCCGACCGUGGGGCUGAUGCAUCCCUCUGCUUCCAAGUGUCGCGGUCAUGCAGAACUACCUGGAUCGGUCGUCUCAGGCCUCUCUGCUCCCUUGCGGGCCUGGUUUACUUAUUCAGCGGAACUGGCCCCCUUCGGAGGAGUGGGCGAGGCCCGGUGUGGAGCCGGGCGCGGUGGUGCAGAGGCCGCGGAAGUCAGGGGAGGAUGGCGGUACAAAGGAGCUCUGUAUUCGUCGGCCCUCUGGGGGAUACAGCGAGGUAGAAGCCUUGGCCCCGUUCUGAACCAGUUGACCAAAAAUCUCGAGCAGAGCGCUCCAGUGAGAGGAGGGAGAGACAGCUGUCAGCUGGAGCUGCUGAAUGCAGCGCGAAGGAUGCUGAUUUGAGCUGGGCGUGAUUUGGAAGAUCCAGGGAAGGACAUCCCAGGUCCCGGACAGCCAAAGCGAAGUCUCACAAGAUUCUGCCCUGCCCUUCAGCUCUGCAUCUGAUGGCCGGCAUCUGGGGGAUCUUGUUUUCCUAAGAUUGUUGGAAUUCCUGUUAUCAUCAUAUGAACUCUUCUCCUGGCAUCAUCAGCUUCCUGUAUCCAGGAGCUGUUCUAAGGAACCUCAGUGCAGACACCUGAGUAUCACGUUCUCUGCCUGAAGAAUUCUCCGAUCUUGGCAGAGUGUGGACCCUUUUGAGAUCUUGCUUUUUGGCAUGAUCAUUUCCUGACAUACCUCUAUGUCCAUUGGUGUAAUUUUUUGUUUUUGGAAACAGACUGAGCUGCUUCUGCCCAGAGCCAUCAAGGCUGUACCUGAAACUGUCUCCUGACCUUGGAGUGCUCAAGUUCACAUGGACUCUCCACUUUGUUCUGGAGAUAUGUGGGCUCCGGCUCAGGCAGCAUCAAGACAAGCCAGGCCUGCAGACCUCCCCAAGGGACAAAAUCCCUCCUCCUCACCCACGAAGGAUCCUUCUUGCACUUCUCCAUGACGAGAUCUGGAAGGGACUCCCCUGGUGUCUCGAACACAAGGACAUGUAACAUGAGAGCAAAGUUUCCUUUUUUUUUUUUUCCUUUUUUUUUUCGG
Long non-coding RNA from Phacochoerus africanus (Common warthog), 1084 nucleotides. RefSeq lists it as uncharacterized. The transcript is spliced from 4 exons. The record is from RefSeq and is a predicted model, not a curated record. Lineage: Eukaryota; Metazoa; Chordata; Mammalia; Artiodactyla; Suidae.